RNAcentral lists this transfer RNA (76 nucleotides) under Paenibacillus contaminans. Its description in RNAcentral is "tRNA-Lys". It matches the Rfam family "tRNA". From Rfam's summary of the family: Transfer RNA (tRNA) molecules are approximately 80 nucleotides in length. Their secondary structure includes four short double-helical elements and three loops (D, anti-codon, and T loops). RNAcentral also lists the same sequence under 1 other name. The record is from RNAcentral. Lineage: Bacteria; Bacillati; Bacillota; Bacilli; Caryophanales; Paenibacillaceae.
GAGGCAUUAGCUCAGUUGGUAGAGCACCUGACUUUUAAUCAGGGUGUCGUAGGUUCGAGUCCUACAUGCCUCACCA